RNAcentral lists this ribosomal RNA (513 nucleotides) under Triticum aestivum (bread wheat). Its description in RNAcentral is "partial small subunit ribosomal RNA". Lineage: Eukaryota; Viridiplantae; Streptophyta; Magnoliopsida; Poales; Poaceae. The record is from RNAcentral.
AUGGGUACUGUCAGAUUGGAGAGCUUGAAGGGGCCUUUCUCAACCUUUCAGAACAUGAAAUCACGCCUUGUUAGUCCAAAUCACAUCACCUAUAAUGCACUAAUAAACGGUUUGGGUAAGGCUGAAAGGAUCACAGAAGCACAUGCUUUGGUCAAAGAGAGGGAGAAAAAUGGAGCAAGUCCUAGUGUGGAAACUUUCAAUAUGCUUAUUGAUGGUUAUGGAAGGGAUGGGCAGCUUGAAAAAAAUUUCAUUCUACUUUCUGAUAUGCGAGAGAAGGGGGUAAAGCCAAAUGUAGUCUCCUAUGGUUUUAUUGUCAAUGCCUUUUGCAAGAAUGGGAAAAUCCCGGAAGCAGUAGCUAUUUUGGAUGAUAUGUUCCAUAAAGAUGUUUUACCAAGUGCACAGGUGUACAAUGCUAUCAUAGAUGCAUAUAUAGACUGUGAUGCCACUGAACAGGCUUUUACUCUAGCUGAGAAGAUGAAGACUAGUGGGGUAAAGUUACAUGCAAUUUGCUGA